AUGUGCUUUGGCCACACAUGUACUAAAAUUGGAACAAUUCAGAGAAGAUUAGUGUGGUUCCAGGUGAGGACAAUUUGAACUUCAUGAAGUAUUCCAUAGUUUU
Molecule: small nuclear RNA, 103 nt
Organism: Mastomys coucha (southern multimammate mouse)
Lineage: Eukaryota; Metazoa; Chordata; Mammalia; Rodentia; Muridae
Source: RefSeq, a predicted model, not a curated record